This 107-nucleotide small nuclear RNA is filed under the name Cricetulus griseus (Chinese hamster). Lineage: Eukaryota; Metazoa; Chordata; Mammalia; Rodentia; Cricetidae. The record is from RNAcentral.
GUGCUCGCUUCAGCAGCAUAUAUACUAAAACUGGAACAAUGCAGAGAAGAUUAGCAUGUCCCCUUUGCAAGGAUGAUAAGCAAAUUCAUGAAGCGUUCCAUAUUUUU